RNAcentral lists this ribosomal RNA (1101 nucleotides) under uncultured fungus. RNAcentral describes it as "eukaryotic LSU rRNA". The stretch from base 527 to 1101 matches the Rfam family "Eukaryotic large subunit ribosomal RNA", at positions 1 to 593 of the family's 3401-position model. The record is from RNAcentral. Lineage: Eukaryota; Fungi.
GAUCAUUACCGAGUUUUUUUUUGGCCUUGAGCCAAAAAGUCUCCCACCCUUUGUCUAUUUGAUGCUGUUUAAGCAGCUUCGGCGGGACGACUUCUCGAAGUCGGCUGACGUAUUAUUAUAUAUGUUGGCUUGUGCCUGCCGAAGUAAACUUACAACUCUUAUAAUGUCUGUUGACGUCUGAUAUAAAGCAAGAAAAAUAAAAUCAAAACUUUCAACAACGGAUCUCUUGGUUCUGGCAUCGAUGAAGAACGCAGCGAAAUGCGAUAAGUAGUGUGAAUUGCAGAAUUCAGCGAAUCAUCGAAUCUUUGAACGCACAUUGCGCCUCUUGGUAUUCCUUGAGGCAUGCCUGUUCGAGCGUCGUUUAGACCAUAAGGCUUUGCCUUGCGUUGGGCAGCUUGGCUUCCCAGUUAAUUUGGGAGGCCAAGGGUUCCAAACUGAUUGGCGUCUGAUUUGGCCAAAAACACAGCGAUAUGUGGAUUUUGACAGUCAAUGAAAGACAGCUAGACAACCAAAAUAAAAAAUCGGUCGACCUCGGAUCAAGCAAGACUACCCGCUGAACUUAAGCAUAUCAAUAAGCGGAGGAAAAGAAACCAACAGGGAUUGCCUCAGUAACGGCGAGUGAAGCGGCAACAGCUCAAAUUUGAAAUCUGGCGUAUGCCCGAAUUGUAAUUUGCAGAGGAUGGUUCGGCGAGACCCAAGUCCAAGUCUUCUGGAAGGAAGCGCCAUUGAGGGUGAGAGCCCCGUACGGCUGACGGUUGAGCUAUGUGAACCUCCUUCGAAGAGUCGAGUUGUUUGGGAAUGCAGCUCAAAAUGGGUGGUAAAUUCCAUCUAAAGCUAAAUAUUGGCCAGAGACCGAUAGCGCACAAGUAGAGUGAUCGAAAGAUGAAAAGCACUUUGGAAAGAGAGUGAAACAGUACGUGAAAUUGUUGAAAGGGAAGCGCUUGCGACCAGACUUGAUUUUUCGGUUCAAGGGUUCAUUUGGACCUGGUAUUUCCGUUGAUCAGGCCAGCAUCAGUUCGGACGGUUGGAAAAAAGCGUUGGGAACGUAGCUCCUCGGAGUGUUAUAGCCCUUUGCAGAAUACAGCCAGUCUGGACUGAGGU